Molecule: ribosomal RNA, 508 nt
Filed under: Vibrio parahaemolyticus
Lineage: Bacteria; Pseudomonadati; Pseudomonadota; Gammaproteobacteria; Vibrionales; Vibrionaceae
Description: partial 23S ribosomal RNA
Rfam family: Bacterial large subunit ribosomal RNA
Source: RNAcentral
UGUAAGCGGUUGAAGGUGUGUGGUAACGCAUGCUGGACGUAUCAGAAGUGCGAAUGCUGACAUGAGUAACGAUAAAGGGGGUGAAAAACCUCCUCGCCGGAAGACCAAGGGUUCCUGUCCAACGUUAAUCGGGGCAGGGUAAGUCGACCCCUAAGGCGAGGCCGAAAGGCGUAGUCGAUGGGAAACGGGUUAAUAUUCCCGUACUUCUUACAAUUGCGAUGGGGGGACGGAGAAGGCUAGGUGGGCCUGGCGACGGUUGUCCAGGUUCAAGUGCGUAGGCUUAAGAGUUAGGUAAAUCCGGCUCUUUUUAAGGCUGAGACACGACGUCGAGCACCUACGGGUGUGAAGUCAUUGAUGCCAUGCUUCCAGGAAAAGCCUCUAAGCUUCAGAUUGUAAGGAAUCGUACCCCAAACCGACACAGGUGGUCGGGUAGAGAAUACCAAGGCGCUUGAGAGAACUCGGGUGAAGGAACUAGGCAAAAUGGUACCGUAACUUCGGGAGAAGGUAC